AAAACAUUAUGUUUUUAAGUUUGAAGCUUUGUCUUUUUUCAGAGGCCAAAUAGGUAGUUUUAGCGUUUUGUUGAAAGUAUCUUCCAAAAUUGUAAAUGUAGAAUCUCAAGAAUGAGCAUUUGGCAAAAGUAGCAUCAAAAGGCGUGUCCCAGAGAGAAAGCCAAGGAGCCUGGCAGACCUAAAGAAGAUUUGGGGAAGAAAAUAAACACUAGCAAUCAGUCCAAUUAGAUGUAGCUGUAAUGUAAGUGUUUUUGUUGAAGGGGCUAUUCGUCUGCGCUUGAACAUUUUUUAUUUUAUUCACAUCAUAUAUGUUGUGCAGAAAACCUUAUUAGUUGUUUCCAUAACAAAUAAAUGUAAUGCCACAUUUUAUGAAUGAUCCAUAAGUCCUAGUAAUAUUAUGAAGUAAUUUUUAAAAUUAACCUUGUGUAUUCAUUGUCAUUUUGAAAAGAGCAUGUUAAAAAUUUGAUUUAUAAUGUUGUGUGAAAUUAUAGAAACCACAUAAAGUCUAAACAUAAAUAGAUUUUCAAUGUUACUCUUCCCAAGUAACCUUCAUGUAAGGCUAUCCAUCUUUAUAGUCUACUGAAAAUUCUUUUAAAAAUUGUUUGUGUAUGCUACAUAACAUGCAUGUGUACAUAUGUCCUUGUCAUUUGCAUUAAAAAUUGUUAAUAUUGUUUAUCAAUGUGUAACUAUUUUACAGGAAGAAGGUUUAAAUUGUAUGGCACUUUGUCUUCUUUAUGUUAUAUAAAAAACAUACUACCUGAGAUGGCUCAUACCGGUGUGAUUUUCCAGGUAAAUUUAUAGUCUAGUAAUUGGAUAUUAUGAACUGAUAAAAAUAAUGCCAAGAUAACUGAAAAUAUUAGUAGAUUCUGAUCUUUUAUUGCCUGUGAAAGUUUGUUAACUUAUCAAUUAGAUCUGAGAAAAUGAGUUUUACAAGCUAUAUCAACUGAUAGUAUAAAAAUUAUUUAAUAGAUCAUCUUUCCCUUAUAUGUAAUAUGACUGUAUACU
This 1005-nucleotide long non-coding RNA is filed under the name Pongo abelii (Sumatran orangutan). RNAcentral describes it as "lincRNA". The record is from RNAcentral. Lineage: Eukaryota; Metazoa; Chordata; Mammalia; Primates; Hominidae.